AGUGAACGCUGGCGGUAGGCCUAACACAUGCAAGUCGAACGGCAGCACAGUAAUAGCUUGCUCUUACGGGUGGCGAGUGGCGGACGGGUGCGGAAUACAUCGGAAUCUACUUUUUCUUGGGGGAUAAAGUAGGGAAACUUACGCCAAUACCGCAUACGACCUACGGGUGAAAGCAGCGGAUCUUCGGACCUUGCGCGAUUCAAUGAGGCGAUGUCGGAUUAGCUAGUUGGUGGGGUAAAGGCCCACCAAGGCGACGAUCCGUAGCUGGUCUGAGAGGAUGAUCAGCCACACUGGAACUGAGACACGGUCCAGACUCCUACGGGAGGCAGCAGUGGGGAAUAUUGGACAAUGGGCGAAAGCCUGAUCCAGCCAUACCGCGUGGGUGAAGAAGGCCUUCGGGUUGUAAAGCACUUUUGUUGGGAAAGAAAAGCAGCAGGUUAAUACCCCGCUGUUCUGACGUUACCAAAAGAAUAAGCACCGGCUAACUUCGUG
Molecule: ribosomal RNA, 492 nt
Filed under: uncultured bacterium
Lineage: Bacteria
Description: partial 16S ribosomal RNA
Rfam family: Bacterial small subunit ribosomal RNA
Source: RNAcentral